Molecule: ribosomal RNA, 460 nt
Filed under: uncultured bacterium
Lineage: Bacteria
Description: partial 16S ribosomal RNA
Rfam family: Bacterial small subunit ribosomal RNA
Source: RNAcentral
CCUACGGGUGGCAGCAGUGAGGAAUAUUGGUCAAUGGACGAGAGUCUGAACCAGCCAAGUAGCGUGAAGGAUGACUGCCCUAUGGGUUGUAAACUUCUUUUAUAUGGGAAUAAAACGUUCCACGUGUGGGAUUUUGUAUGUACCAUACGAACAAGGAUCGGCUAACCCCGGGCCAGCAGCCGCGGUAAUACGGAGGAGCCGAGCGUUAUCCUGAUUUAUUGGGUUUAAAGGGAGCGUAGGUGGUUUGUUAAGUCAGGUGUGAAAGUUUGGGGCUAAACCGUAAAAUUGCAGUUGAAACUGGCAGUCUUGAGUACAGUAGAGGUGAGCGGAAUUCGUGGUGUAGCGGUGAAAUGCUUAGAUAUCACGAAGAACUCCGAUUGCGAAGGCAGUUCACUGGACUGCAACUGACGCUGAGGCUCGAAAGUGUGGGUAUCAAACAGGAUUAGAUACCCGUGUAGUC